Fukomys damarensis (Damara mole-rat) is the source of this 45-nucleotide non-coding RNA. NCBI's taxonomy places the organism in Eukaryota, Metazoa, Chordata, Mammalia, Rodentia, Bathyergidae. The record is from Rfam.
AUAAAGGCUUUUAUCAAAGCCACAUACAAGUGAAGGUAUUUCUAG